GGGUUGUGAGGUUAAGCGACUAAGCGUACACGGUGGAUGCCCUGGCAGUCAGAGGCGAUGAAGGACGUGCUAAUCUGCGAUAAGCGCCGGUAAGGUGAUAUGAACCGUUAUAACCGGCGAUUUCCGAAUGGGGAAACCCAGUGUGAUCCGUCACACUAUCGUUAACUGAAUACAUAGGUUAACGAAGCGAACCGGGGGAACUGAAACAUCUAAGUACCCCGAGGAAAAGAAAUCAACCGAGAUUCCCCCAGUAGCGGCGAGCGAACGGGGAGCAGCCCAGAGUCUGAAUCAGCAUGUGUGUUAGUGGAACGGUCUGGAAAGUCCGACGGUACAGGGUGAUAGUCCCGUACACAAAAAUGCACAUGUUGUGAACUCGAAGAGUAGGGCGGGACACGUGGUAUCCUGUCUGAAUAUGGGGGGACCAUCCUCCAAGGCUAAAUACUCCUGACUGACCGAUAGUGAACCAGUACCGUGAGGGAAAGGCGAAAAGAACCCCGGCGAGGGGAGUGAAAAAGAACCUGAAACCGUGUACGUACAAGCAGUGGGAGCACCUUCGGGUGUGACUGCGUACCUUUUGUAUAAUGGGUCAGCGACUUAUAUUCUGUAGCAAGGUUAACCGUAUAGGGGAGCCGAAGGGAAACCGAGUCUUAACUGGGCGUUAAGUUGCAGGGUAUAGACCCGAAACCCGGUGAUCUAGCCAUGGGCAGGUUGAAGGUUGGGUAACACUAACUGGAGGACCGAACCGACUAAUGUUGAAAAAUUAGCGGAUGACUUGUGGCUGGGGGUGAAAGGCCAAUCAAACCGGGAGAUAGCUGGUUCUCCCCGAAAGCUAUUUAGGUAGCGCCUCGUGAAUUCAUCUUCGGGGGUAGAGCACUGUUUCGGCUAGGGGGUCAUCCCGACUUACCAACCCGAUGCAAACUGCGAAUACCGAAGAAUGUUAUCACGGGAGACACACGGCGGGUGCUAACGUCCGUCGUGAAGAGGGAAACAACCCAGACCGCCAGCUAAGGUCCCAAAGUCAUGGUUAAGUGGGAAACGAUGUGGGAAGGCACAGACAGCCAGGAUGUUGGCUUAGAAGCAGCCAUCAUUUAAAGAAAGCGUAAUAGCUCACUGGUCGAGUCGGCCUGCGCGGAAGAUGUAACGGGGCUAAACCAUGCACCGAAGCUGCGGCAGCGACACUAUGUGUUGUUGGGUAGGGGAGCGUUCUGUAAGCCGUUGAAGGUGUCCUGUGAGGGAUGCUGGAGGUAUCAGAAGUGCGAAUGCUGACAUAAGUAACGAUAAUGCGGGUGAAAAACCCGCACGCCGGAAGACCAAGGGUUCCUGUCCAACGUUAAUCGGGGCAGGGUGAGUCGACCCCUAAGGCGAGGCCGAAAGGCGUAGUCGAUGGGAAACAGGUUAAUAUUCCUGUACUUGGUGUUACUGCGAAGGGGGGACGGAGAAGGCUAUGUCGGCCGGGCGACGGUUGUCCCGGUUUAAGCGUGUAGGUGUGUGUUCCAGGUAAAUCCGGUUCACUUUAACACUGAGGCGUGAUGACGAGGCNNNNNNNNNNNNNNNNNNNNNNNNNNNNNNNNNNNNNNNNNNNNNNNNNNNNNNNNNNNNNNNNNNNNNNNNNNNNNNNNNNNNNNNNNNNNNNNCCCGUGGAGCUGAAAUCAGUCGAAGAUACCAGCUGGCUGCAACUGUUUAUUAAAAACACAGCACUGUGCAAACACGAAAGUGGACGUAUACGGUGUGACGCCUGCCCGGUGCCGGAAGGUUAAUUGAUGGGGUUAUCCGUAAGGAGAAGCUCUUGAUCGAAGCCCCGGUAAACGGCGGCCGUAACUAUAACGGUCCUAAGGUAGCGAAAUUCCUUGUCGGGUAAGUUCCGACCUGCACGAAUGGCGUAAUGAUGGCCAGGCUGUCUCCACCCGAGACUCAGUGAAAUUGAACUCGCUGUGAAGAUGCAGUGUACCCGCGGCAAGACGGAAAGACCCCGUGAACCUUUACUAUAGCUUGACACUGAACACUGGUCCUUGAUGUGUAGGAUAGGUGGGAGGCUUUGAAGUGUGGACGCCAGUCUGCAUGGAGCCAUCCUUGAAAUACCACCCUUUAAUGGCUGGUGUUCUAACGUGGGCCCCUAAUCGGGGUUGCGGACAGUGUCUGGUGGGUAGUUUGACUGGGGCGGUCUCCUCCCAAAGAGUAACGGAGGAGCACGAAGGUUAGCUAAUCCUGGUCGGACAUCAGGAGGUUAGUGCAAAGGCAUAAGCUAGCUUGACUGCGAGAGUGACGGCUCGAGCAGGUGCGAAAGCAGGUCUUAGUGAUCCGGUGGUUCUGAAUGGAAGGGCCAUCGCUCAACGGAUAAAAGGUACUCCGGGGAUAACAGGCUGAUACCGCCCAAGAGUUCAUAUCGACGGCGGUGUUUGGCACCUCGAUGUCGGCUCAUCACAUCCUGGGGCUGAAGUAGGUCCCAAGGGUAUGGCUGUUCGCCAUUUAAAGUGGUACGCGAGCUGGGUUUAGAACGUCGUGAGACAGUUCGGUCCCUAUCUGCCGUGGGCGCUGGAGAAUUGAGGGGGGCUGCUCCUAGUACGAGAGGACCGGAGUGGACGCAUCACUGGUGUUCGGGUUGUCAUGCCAAUGGCACUGCCCGGUAGCUAAAUGCGGAAGAGAUAAGUGCUGAAAGCAUCUAAGCACGAAACUUGCCCCGAGAUGAGUUCUCCCUGAGACUUUAAGUCUCCUGAAGGAACGUUGAAGACGACGACGUUGAUAGGUCGGGUGUGUAAGUGUAGCGAUACAUUGAGCUAACCGAUACUAAUGAACCGUGAGGCUUAACCUUACAACGCCGAAG
This 2821-nucleotide ribosomal RNA is filed under the name Citrobacter sp. EC_71. RNAcentral's name for it is "23S ribosomal RNA". It matches the Rfam family "Bacterial large subunit ribosomal RNA". The record is from RNAcentral. Lineage: Bacteria; Pseudomonadati; Pseudomonadota; Gammaproteobacteria; Enterobacterales; Enterobacteriaceae.